CAAUAGCGUAUAUUAAAGUUGUUGCAGUUAAAAAGCUCGUAGUUGAAUUUUUGCUUGCCGCCGAUGUCGGAACUUCCGUACGUUCGGCGGCGUGCAUCCUUGGGUGGAACCUGUGUGGCAUUAGGUUGUCGUGCAGGGGAUGCCCAUCUUUUACUGUGAAUAAAUUAGAGUGUUCAAAGCAGGCUUACGCCGUUGAAUAUGCUAGCAUGGAAUAAUAAGAUAGGACCUUGGUACUAUUUUGUUGGUUUGCGCACCGAGGUAAUGAUUAAUAGGGACAGUUGGGGGUAUUCGUAUUGCAUUGUCAGAGGUGAAAUUCUUGGAUUUUUGCAAGACGAACGACUGCGAAAGCAUUUACCAAGGAUGUUUUCAUUAA
Molecule: ribosomal RNA, 373 nt
Filed under: uncultured eukaryote
Lineage: Eukaryota
Description: partial 18S ribosomal RNA
Rfam family: Eukaryotic small subunit ribosomal RNA
Source: RNAcentral